AGAACGAACGCUGGCGGCAGGCUUAACACAUGCAAGUCGAACGGGUGUCGCAAGACAUCAGUGGCAGACGGGUGAGUAACACGUGGGAACCUUCCUAGGGGUACGGAACAACUCAGGGAAACUUGAGCUAAUACCGUAUACGUCCGUAAGGAGAAAGAUUCAUCGCCCCUAGACGGGCCCGCGUCGGAUUAGGUAGUUGGUGGGGUAACGGCCUACCAAGCCGACGAUCCGUAGCUGAUCUGAGAGGAUGAUCAGCCACACUGGGACUGAGACACGGCCCAGACUCCUACGGGAGCAGCAGUGGGGAAUCUUGGACAAUGGGCGCAAGCCUGAUCCAGCCAUGCCGCGUGAGUGAAGAAGGCCUUAGAGUUGUAAAGCUCUUUACCAGGGACGAUAAUGACGGUACCUGGAGAAUAAGCCCGCAAACUUCGCGCCAGCAGCCGC
Molecule: ribosomal RNA, 444 nt
Filed under: uncultured soil bacterium
Lineage: Bacteria
Description: bacterial SSU rRNA
Rfam family: Bacterial small subunit ribosomal RNA
Source: RNAcentral